RNAcentral lists this long non-coding RNA (7267 nucleotides) under Nicotiana tabacum (common tobacco). Its description in RNAcentral is "long non-coding RNA (NTAB_LNC005018)". Lineage: Eukaryota; Viridiplantae; Streptophyta; Magnoliopsida; Solanales; Solanaceae. The record is from RNAcentral.
AUGAAUCGUACCCGCAGCUAUGACGAUUUUAUUAUAAAUGCGCCUAAAGCAAACUACGAAUAUUCAAAGUAUUUUCUACACUAGUUAUGAUAUUAAUGUGAGGGCCAUAAAUUAGGGGGUUCAUUUGUGAAUGGCACGCCUCGAUUUAUUUUAAAAGAUUUGUACUCAAUUAAAGCAAUAUAUGGAUGUUCAUAUUUAAAACUAAUUUGAAAUUAGGUAUCACAGCUACGUCACGGGAAUCGUACCCGUAAUCGUGAUGAUUUAAUUACGCGCCUAAAGCAAGCUACGAUGUCAUGAUUUUCCUAAAACUAAUUUGAGACUAUCACAAGGUUAUAUGAAUUGCGGAAAAACCAUUAUUAUGGAUAGAACAUAGAAAGAUUGAAAUAAGUCUAAGGUCUAGUGACGUGAGCAUUAAUGGUUUUGAACAUCAGUUAAUUAAUUUAUCAUUCAAGGCUCAUAAAUUUUGAAAGCAGCUAUUUGAAGAAUCGUGAGUAAUUGGACUUAAUGCUUCUAGAAAAUCCUUAUUAGCACACAUGCCUUGUAUUUUUCAAAAAAAAAAGAAACGACUAUACCAUUCAACAUUAUAGCUCAACAAAGUAAAGUAAGUGAUUGAACAAUGAGCUUCUAUCAUUUUAAACAUUUGUAGUUUACAUGAAUAGCCACCAAAACAAAUAUAUUGUCGAUUAUAGGAUACAUCAUCACAAAGGAAUAAAAUAAACCAACAAUUAAACUCAAACUCAUGUUAUCCAAGUUCAGACAAUGCAUUAGAAGAAGACGAACUAAUUUUGGCAGAAAAAAUCUGUUUUAAUUACAUUUUUAUAUGCUGAAUCAAACUAGAUGAGGUAUUUAAAACUAGCAGAGGACUUUUAACUUCAAGUAUGUAUAUAAUCUUCAAGCAGCAAUCCCCAGCCUGAUCUCCAAAUCUUGAUAGCAAACUAAUGAACAAUUAUUUCCAAUUAAUAUGACAGUGGAAUCACAGGAUCCUCCAUUCCUAAAAUUUUUAAACUGAACUUCUUCCAAACCACACAUGGCCACGUGAUGAUCAGACUUCAAUUAUACCACACUAAAGGUUAUCCCAAACAUGAAUCAUCAUUUUAACAAUAAUGUAUCACUAGAAAAUAUUGAGAUCAAUCUAUGAAGAAUCAGCAAGUUGAACAUUUAAAUUAGAACACACCAGCAACAUCCAGGAUUAACAGAAUAAUUACUCUAAUUAACUUUGAAGUCUUAAACAUGCUGGAUCCAUUAAACACAAAGCAUAACAAGAUAACUCAUAUUCCAUUUAGAAAUGCAAUGGAGAAUAACAAUUGGAACCUGUACAUAUCUAAAAUGCAGAGUAACAGCAGAAACUUGAGCAAAUAAAGGUCAUAAAAGAAGAUGAAAUCCAACAGCAAGAAACAACAAUAAACUCAACAAUUAGGGAGAUAGUUCCGCAGCUUGAAAUGGAAUUCGAAAUCCCUAAAAAAUUAAGCAAAAACAGCAAUAAAUAACCCCAAAUUUCUGCUCCAACCUCCGAAACCCCAGCAAAAAUACCUCAAGAACAAAGAAAAGCUCAAAUUUUCUCAAGAAUACUUUUUAGAUUUUGUUUUGUGUUAAGCCGUUUUCUCUAUCUCAUUCUUUUUUCUCUCCCUCUAAUGAUUGGAAAAAAGGAUCUUUUAUAGAGGAGAUUUAGGGAAACAAAGCCUGUUUUUCCUCACUCAAAUGCACCCUUUAAACUUUAAUUUAAUUCACUUACACCCCUGCCCAUAGAAUUUUCCCCCUUUUCCCCCUGAAAUGAUCUUAGUCAACCCUUAUCUAGAAGCUUCCCAUUUGUUAGGAUAAGAUUCCCUCAAUUCCUAUCCAAUUUGAACUCCUAUGUACCCCUGUAUUUACCCCUUUUUACUAUUUUGACACUUACCUCAAGUGUUACUGGACCUCUGGGCCACUUAAACCACAAACCCAACAUUUCCCUUGGGCCCUUGCACCAACAGACCCAAAUCCGAACCCAACCCAUAAACCAAAACAGUUCUAUGAAGAAUUAAACCAAGCUCUUGAAUAAUCAAAGAUUAAUGAUGCAUUUUUAGAAAGGAAAAAAAACUAUACAUUACAGAUGCAAUUAUGUCUAAUUAUUGAGCUAUUAACACAGUUUAAUCAAUCAUGCACUAGAACAUAAUUUUUAGACAUAAAAUUGUCAUCACAGUAGGGGUUAUGAAGAAUAGGAGGAAAGGCAUACCGAUUAAAUCGCCAAAAGCUUCGACAACUCGGAGAAAAGCAGUAACGAAUCAAUUUGAACUCUGGCGAACAAGAAACUCGGCCAAUGGUGGGAAUUGCAACAUGAAUACUAGCAGGACUUUCUUCCACAGCUAGUCCUUCAUGUCACAAUCCUCAACAUAUGCCAAGAAAGAGACGAGGCAGAGGUUUCAAGCCAUUUUGGACAAUCAAUGAUUAUUUACCCAGAAUCCGGCCAAUCUGUGAAAUAGGACAACCUUAACAUUAAACAACUCCUUACAUUGAAAAAUAAGGAAUUCAAGUAGGUUUCAUCAUGAAUUGAGGACCAGGUCAAAAAAAUCGAACAAAAAGUAAAAAGUUUGGAUUUUUAUUCUUAGAUCUCAAAUUCGGAGAAUAUGAGUGGCCUUUUGGAGAAAUCAAUGGUGGGUUAUGAACGAGGGGGUGAUGGAAAUUUGAGGGCUUUUGGAAGUGGUCCGCGGCGGAGGAACGGUGGAACAGGCGGUGGUCUUUGAGAGAGACAUGAAUUAGGUUUAGAAUUAAUUGAAUGAAUUAUGAGGCCAGGGGGUUGAGUUUAGUCGUUUAAUAGGGUAAAGGGGUUGAAACGCCGUAGUUUUGAAGUGCAACUACAUCAUUUUGGUGAGGGGAGGUUGGACAGGGUAAGGGUGGUCUGGGCCUGGGUGGUUUGGGCGAAAUUCUUUUGAAAUCAAUUGGCCAAUUUAAAAUUUGGCCCAGCAUGUCAAGACCAAAAUUAAUCCCUCUCUUUUUAUUCUUCUUUUCUCUGUUUUUUUUCUUUUUCUUUUCCUUAAUUAAAAUCUUAAAUUAAAUCCUAACUUGUAAAAUUAAGCUAAUUAUCUAAUUAUAGCAUUUACAAAAAUUAGUUGAUCCAAAAUUAAAAAGGAGAAAAUUACUAAUCUAAAAUUUAAAGAUGAAAAUGUAACAAUGAGGAAAUGUUUUUGUGAUUUUUCAUUUUAAUAAAGCAAUUAAUUAGCUAAUCAAUCCCAAAAUCUGAACACAAAUUCUAAUAUGUAAUGCAUGAUAUUUUUGACAUUUUUGGAGCAUUUUCAUGAUUUUAGUAAAAAUUAAACGUGCACAAAAAAUGCGAACAAUUAAUAAAAUCCUUCAAAAAAUCCUAUAAAAUGGCAAAUAAUUGGGAAAAAAAAAUCUAUUUCUUUGAUUUUAUAGGAGUAUUUUGAUUAGGGCAAAAAUCACAUGCUCAUAAUAGACACGAGUACCUAGCUUGUAAGAUAUUGACUGUUGCAUGAUGUAAUGUUAUUUAUGCAUAAAUAUGUUCCCUAUGGACAGUCUAUGAAUGUGUAUGGGUAUAGUAAAAUGCAUAGGUAAGCUAAAGGUUGGAUAUAGACGAUCCCAUGUGUAUGCAUAGUCCGACCCGAAUAUUUUGACCCGUAUGGAUGGUCUGCUUUGCUACGUGUAUGUGCCACCAGAUAGUCAUAUUAUAGUGUGCCUUACGGACGGUCUACCUUGCUAUGUGUAAGAGCCAUAUUUUGUUCUCAUAAUAAGUAACAACGGCGAUGCAACAAGAGAUCAUUGAGCAACAGUUGACAGAAAUAACUCAGAAUCUUAUGAUAUUUUGAGUUUUUCAAUCAGAUUGAAGGACCAAGUAGUCCAAGUGAUAGCGAUCUAGUAAGUCGAUCUACGGAACGUGGUAAGCUCACUCUUAUUCUUGUCAUUCAGCAGAAUAUUUUUGUAUUCAUUCAUGCUUUUCAGUUUUCAGAAUUUAUUUAUAUGUAUUGCUUUCUGACUUACAUACUUGGUACAUCUCAUUGUACUAACGUCCCAUUGCUGGGGUGCUGCAUUUCAUGCCUGCAAGUGCAAGUAGUCAGUUUGACGAGCUCUCAAAAUAGAUAGGAUUGAUAUUCAGCGGAAAAUCGGUAAGACUCCAUCUCUUUAGGAGCAUAGCCGAGUUUAGAGGUCAUGAUAUCGGAUUUUGUUAUAGACUUACGGGUAGGCGGGGGCCUAUCCUGAUGAUAUUUUGAUGUCAGAUAUUCUUAGAGGCUUUGUAGACACAGGAUCAACAUGUAUAUGAUUUCUUUCUAGGUUGCCCGAUAUUGAUACUGGGAGGCCUGAGCAUGUAUUGAUGUUUUGAGUAUGAUGGCUAGCUGAUAUGAUGCUUGGACGCCUACGAUAUAUUACAAGUUGCGCCCUAUUGGCCUAUGUAUGUUUUAAGUUACGUCUAACAUUCAAGAGUUGCAAUGGUUCACUCGGUCCAGUACGGCACCGAGUGCCAGCCAUGCCUCACCUAAGUUGGGGUCUGCACAUGUGGAGAUACAAGGCGGGAAUAUUAUUAUGCGUGUGCGGUGAGACAAGGCAAACAUUUACUUUAUUGUUGUGCACGUGGUGAGACAAGGGGGGCUAUGUCGGGGAUGAUUUGUGAUGGCUUGUGAUGGUAUGCGGGUGUUUUUAUUUAUGAUAUUUGUGUACAUUUUGUUGUGUUGUUUCCUUUGUGUCGUUCGUUGUCUUUACUCAUAAUUGUUGACUCAAGUUGUGAUAGAACACUUGCACAAGCAUACACGUAAUUAAUCACUCAUAUUGGUUUAAGAAGAUGAAUCCUGAUGUUCAUUGAUCAUUUACAUGUAUUCUCAUUUACUUGCCUUUUGUGUGAGAGUUGCAUUGUUAGCACGUGAGUUGUCCGUGCAGUUAUGAGUUAUGGCUAGUGUUGGCACGUGAGUUGUUUUUGCAGUUAAGAUUCAUUGUUAUUGUUGGCACGUGGGUUGUCCGUGCAGAUAUGAGGUACUAAUAGUAUUGGCACGCGAGUUAUCCGUGUAGCGUGUGAGUUGUCCGUACAAUUGUGAAUAUUAAUGUGGGCACAAUAUGCCAAGUGAUUAGGGUCCAUGACUUGGGAAACCCGAAUUGUGGUGAUGAGCUGUGGUACUUCAAGAAAGUACUUGUAUAAAUCUAACAUGUAACCGGUUGUUUAUUUGGUUGCUACCUAUUUUUCCUUACUUGUUUUCACCGGACCUUAAAUGUAUUCAGCUUACUUUACGAUGAUAUUACUCGUUUGUUCCUUGUUGUAAGUAUUGUUGUUUUACCAUGCUUAGCUUUAUAUUGAUAUUGUUCCAUGUUAGUUUCACAUUUAUACUUGCACAGGUUAUUAUGUCUAGUAGGUGUCGUGACUGUUCCUCGUCACUACUCCACUGAGGUUAGUCUUGAUACUUACUAGAUACCGUUGUGGUAUACUCAUGCUAUGCUUUCUGCAUAUUUUUGGGGAGUUCCAGGUACUUCGGAGGUUAUUGAUCAUUAGAUAGCUGAUCAGAUAUUGCUGCGGAGACUUCAAGGUAUACCUACCAUCGCGUUCGCAGGCCUCAGAGUCACCCUCUAAAGUUUAUUUUGUAUAGUUUAUUUUUAUUCCAGAACAGUUGUACUUAGAGACUUUCUUGUGAACUUAGUAAAGUUUAUGACUUGUACUACCGAUUUUGGGCUAUUGUAUUGUACUUGGGAUUGUUAGGUUAUUAUAGAAAUUUUUGUUUCAUGCUUAAUAGCUAAUUGGUUAAAAUAUGUUAUGAAUUCAGUAAGUGCUAGGAUUACCUAGUCUUAGAAACUAGGUGCCAUCACGAUAUCCUACGAAGGGAAAUUAUGGUCAUGACACCUAUAGUGUGAAUGUGACGUGAUAGCUUGGUAUUAGAGAACUAGGUUCACAUAGGUGUCACGAGUUAUGAGCAGGACUAGUAGAGUUUUGCGUAUCGGUACAGAGACGUAUGUACUUAUCUUCGAGAGGGUGUAAGGCAUUAGGAAACUUCUCUUUCUUCAUUUUCUUAUCAUGUUGUCGAUAUUGUUCUAAGUCUAAAUCUUUCUCUUAUUCUCUCAUAGAUGGUGAGAACAUGUGCGAUGGCACUAGCUGCCAGUAGAAGGACUAUGCCUCCUGCGGUAGAGGUAGAGGUAGAGGCUGUGGGUGGGCCAGUGCUCCUACCAGAGGAUGAGGGAAUUCUAGAGUAGUUCUAGAGGCACCACUAGUAGAUCUAGUUAAGGAUCCUAUUAUUGAGGGGCAAGGCGAGACAUUUGUAGCUAAGCAAGUCCCGACAUAUUUCACAACCGUACUAGGCUUUCAAGAGGGCAUGGGUCGUAUGUUAAGAUUUAUGGAUGCUAUGAACCAAGUCGGACCUGUUCCAGUGGAUCCAACCAUAUCUUAGGACAUAGGGGGAUUCCAGAACCUUACCACUCAUACACCGACGCAUGCUUCUGCUAUUAUUUAGGCCCUGGGGCAUUACCUGCAAGCAGUGUUUAGCUAGUUAAAAUAGCCAGAGUAGAUAUUAGACCUCCUGUGACUGCCGAUGAGCAGAAGUGUAAUGACCCAAACCGAUGGGCUGCGACGGGCACCCGGUACCUUACUCAACCGAGUACCAACAUAACAUAUUUUUCAUAUAAUUCUAUCAUAGGUAAAUGAACCGGAGUAAAGCAUGAGAGAAUACAAACUUAUAUAUAUGAAGUACGGGCCUAUAAGGCGGGCAUGAUUCUUUACAUACUCGAAAUAUAGGCAAACAAGGCCAUAUAAGUAUCCGUAUACAUGACAUCUGUCUACAAGCCUCUAAGAAUACAUAAUGUCAUAAAGUUCGGGGCAGGGUCUCGCCAUACCAAUCAAUACAUGUACUAAUCAUACUGACCAAAAAGCAACUCCGGAGAAAAUGGAGCGCACCAACACCUUCCACUGAGCUGACAUCCUACUUGGAGGACUCUUGACCUGUCUAUCAGACUUGUGGGCAUGAAACGCAGCAUCCCCAGGCAAAAGGGAUGUCAUUAUGAAUAAUAUACCGAGUAUGUAAGACACCUAAAUAAGUAUAUAAAAGACAUGAAGGAGAUAUAAAGUAAAUGACUCAACUUGUAAGUCUGGAUAACUCUGUAAAUCAUGAAAUACUUAUAAUGCCAUACAUAUGCGUAUGAAUGUCAUGUCGUGCAUAGGUACAUGUGUUUAUAAUAUCAUCCAGCCUCUGAGGGCAUCCCAUCAUAUCAUCUUGGCCACUGUGGGCAAAAUCAUCAACGCAUACCUGCUGAUCAGGUGGUGGUGCAUAUGUAACGCCAUAACCUUUUUCCAUAACCUCUCUCUCUCUCU